RNAcentral lists this long non-coding RNA (2096 nucleotides) under Marmota monax (woodchuck). Lineage: Eukaryota; Metazoa; Chordata; Mammalia; Rodentia; Sciuridae. The record is from RNAcentral.
CAAUUCUGCAGCUCAGGCUGGACUGGGUAAAGGGUGUACCAAGUUCACACUGGCAGAGGGGAGCUUCCAGGCAGACGUUGGUUGCUCUGCCGUCCUGUGAAGCCUCCCACCACCCCACCCGCCUAGUCUUGCACGUAAAACUCAGAUGCAUCGUCUGCACAGCAAGGCCAUGGCUGGCCCUGGAGGCUGACCUCCCUGCUCCAUUCCAAGCCAGCGGCAUGCACACUGGGUGACUGUGACAUGUUUUGAUGGUCACAGACACACAUAGAGCAGGUAUUCCUUAGUCCACCAACAAAAAUGUACAAGAGACAGCUCUCUCUGUUUUCCAGAUCUCUCCCUAAUGUUGAUUUCACCAGGAUCGAGCCAUUCUCAGUUAACGCCUCCAUUCCCGCCUGGAGUCUAAGUUCAGGAGAUGUGAAUAAAGUUUCUGCUCCAGAGCAAGGGUCCAUCCAGACCUUGGUCCACAAGAGCAUCUGUCUUUCUGCACAAGUCACUCAGGACAUCCCGGAAGCAUGUCUGUAGGGCUUUUUCCUUUGCUUCUGAGCUCUGAGGACUUCUUGCUGAUUUUGCACCCGACUGGGGAUCUUGACACCUCUGUUAGGGGCCCACAGCUCUGUCUCUGUCCAGAAAAGCAAUCCUCUGGCUCAUCUCCACAUCCCAGACCCAGCUGAUGCCUCACAGCUGCCAUUAGGCCUCCCUUUGUGACUGUUUGUCCUCUUUGUCCUUCAAGAUUAUGGUGCACAUCUAGCACUAGUUAUGCAGGAUUGUCUUGUUCAGCUUUUCAAGGGUCCUUGCAGGAUCUUAGGGAUGAGCUCCAUCGCCUUAACCUUCAGAUCAGCACUUAGCCCUCUUAAAGUAAGAGUCCACAUGCUCACGCAGAGAGGUGAACCACACAGGUGCAGGUAACGGGCAAAGAAUCAAGGUGAGUGGUAAGGUUGUCAAGAUUAUACGCAAACAAAUACAAACAUGCCACACAUAUAUUUUAUUUUCCCUUUUUCAUUAAAGCCUGAACCAAUGUCCCUGUAAUGAUCUUUUGUUUAUUUCUCCUAGCACACAGCUGGAUGAUUCAUUUGAUGGAUGGUACCUCUGCUGUAUGCUGGCCCAAUUCUAAGUACAAUGAAGGCACAAAAAAGGAAAUUAAAAUAAACAAAAAUUCCUACCAAAAUAUUUCUUCUCAAGAUGUUGAUUGGGAAACAACAUCCAUGAAAAUGAUUAACGGAUAAGCCCGAAUAAUGGAUUCUCUCCAUCAUCUCUGUUAGUAACUCAGUAACCCUAGCUCAGUUCAGUCAAGGUUUGUUGUGUUUUGACAAAUCGCAGCUGCACAAGGCCCUGGUGAGACAGAGAAGAACAAGACUCUGAGGCUCCCUUUGAGCAGAGUGCUUGGCAUUCCUUAGCAGGUGGGAUCUUAUAUACACCUAGAUAUGAACAGAGUUAUACAAGAAGUUAACAUUGUGUGGAACGGAAGAUUCACUUUUGAAAGAAAGACUUGCAGAGAGACCUUGUUUGGAAAGGAAAAAGCAGAAGGUGUGGCAGUUUCUGCUGACUUGGAUGUGAGAUGCAACCUCUCCAGCCAGAAAGCUCAACAAAAAGCCAAAUUGCAUGCAGUUCUUGGGCUGUUAAUAGGGAGCAAGGUUAUGCAGUUGGCUGUACACAGACUCACUGUUGGAUGGCGAGUCUUGGAUGGGAUAGACAUACAUAUAACUCUCUAAACCCAGACCCUUUGGGAAGAAAAAGGAGGCAUGCAAAUGCUUGUGCUGAGGCAAAGGAGUUGUAAACCCUCAAGUAUGGCUACUCUGUUUUGCAGAACUGACUGUCAAAGCCAAUGGAGAGGAUGUCUAACCUAAAACCCAAGAUGCCUCUGAAUCUGCUCCUGAAUGGGUUAUUAAGCCUGAGCCUCCACAGAAGUUGGAUUUUAAAAAGACGGUGAAACAGACUCCAAGGGGACAGUAUCCAUUGGGUAUGUUCUUCACAUAAGGCCUUAUGCUUGUGCAUGAUGUUGAGGUUGAAUGUGUAUUUAAGUGACUUUUCCUGCAGGCUGUUUUAUAAUGUUACAUGCUAUUCUUUUGUAAAGUAAUACCUACAUACUUAUUAUGGAC